RNAcentral lists this ribosomal RNA (835 nucleotides) under uncultured Bacillota bacterium. RNAcentral's name for it is "bacterial SSU rRNA". It matches the Rfam family "Bacterial small subunit ribosomal RNA", at positions 58 to 905 of the family's 1533-position model. Lineage: Bacteria; Bacillati; Bacillota. The record is from RNAcentral.
CAAGUCGAACGAGAAAGUGGAGCAAUCCACUGAGUAAAGUGGCGACCGGGUGAGUAACACGUGACCAAUCUACCCUUGAGUGGGGGAUAACCUCGGGAAACCGGGGCUAAUACCGCAUAAUAUCCUUGGAACGGAAGUACUGGGGAUCAAAGGAGCAAUUCGCUUAAGGAGGAGGUCGCGGCUGAUUAGCUAGUUGGCGGGGUAAUGGCCCACCAAGGCAAAGAUCGGUAGCCGGCCUGAGAGGGCGCACGGCCACACUGGAACUGAAACACGGUCCAGACUCCUACGGGAGGCAGCAGUGGGGAAUUUUGCGCAAUGGGGGAAACCCUGACGCAGCAACGCCGCGUGGAGGAUGAAGUCCCUUGGGACGUAAACUCCUUUCGACCCGGACGAUAAUGACGGUACGGGUGGAAGAAGCCCCGGCUAACUUCGUGCCAGCAGCCGCGGUAAUACGAGGGGGGCAAGCGUUGUUCGGAAUUAUUGGGCGUAAAGGGCGCGUAGGCGGUGCGGUAAGUCACCUGUGAAACCUCUAGGCUUAACCUANAGCCUGCAGGCGAAACUGCCGUGCUUGAGGGUGGGAGAGGUGCGUGGAAUUCCCGGUGUAGCGGUGAAAUGCGUANAUAUCGGGAGGAACACCUGUGGCGAAAGCGGCGCACUGGACCACAUCUGACGCUGAGGCGCGAAAGCUAGGGGAGCAAACAGGAUUAGAUACCCUGGUAGUCCUAGCCCUAAACUAUGGAUGCUUGGUGUGGCCGGUACCCAAUCCGGGCCGUGCCGAAGCUAACGCGAUAAGCAUCCCGCCUGGGGGAGUACGGUCGCAAGGCUGAAACUCAAA